AGGUUAAGUUAAUAAGGGCGCACGGUGGAUGCCUUGGCACUAGGAGCCGACGAAGGACGUGACAAACGACGAUAUGCCUUGGGUAGCUGUAAGUAAGCGAUGAUCCAGGGAUUUCCGAAUGGGGGAACCCAACAGGUAAUACCUGUUACCUACAUCUGUUAAGGAUGUGAGGAGGAAGACGCAGUGAACUGAAACAUCUAAGUAGCUGCAGGAAGAGAAAGCAAAAGCGAUUGCCUUAGUAGCGGCGAGCGAAACGGCAGAAGGGCAAACCGAAGAGUUUACUCUUCGGGGUUGUAGGACUGCAAUGUGGACUCAAAGAUUAUAGAAGAAUGAUUUGGGAAGAUCAGCCAAAGAGAGUAAUAGCCUCGUAUUUAAAAUAGUCUUUGUACUUAGCAGUAUCCUGAGUACGGCGGGGACACGUGAAAUCCCGUCGGAAUCUGGGAGGACCAUCUCCCAACCCUAAAUACUCCCUAGUGACCGAUAGUGAACCAGUACCGUGAGGGAAAGGUGAAAAGCACCCCGGGAGGGGAGUGAAAUAGAACCUGAAACCGUGUGCCUACAACAAGUUCGAGCCCGUUAAUGGGUGAGAGCGUGCCUUUUGUAGAAUGAACCGGCGAGUUACGUUAUGAUGCGAGGUUAAGUUGAAGAGACGGAGCCGUAGGGAAACCGAGUCUGAAUAGGGCGCCUUAGUAUCAUGACGUAGACCCGAAACCAUGUGACCUACCCAUGAGCAGGUUGAAGGUGCGGUAAGACGCACUGGAGGACCGAACCAGGCACGUUGAAAAGUGCUUGGAUGACUUGUGGGUAGCGGAGAAAUUCCAAACGAACUUGGAGAUAGCUGGUUCUCUCCGAAAUAGCUUUAGGGCUAGCGUCGACAUUAGAGAUUCUUGGAGGUAGAGCACUGUUUGGGUGAGGGGUCCAUCCCGGAUUACCAAUCUCAGAUAAACUCCGGAAUGCCAAUGAAUUAUGGUCGGCAGUCAGACUGCGAGUGCUAAGAUCCGUAGUCGAAAGGGAAACAGCCCAGACCACCAGCUAAGGUCCCAAAAUAAUUGUUAAGUGGAAAAGGAUGUGGGGUUGCACAGACAACUAGGAUGUUAGCUUAGAAGCAGCUAUUCAUUCAAAGAGUGCGUAAUAGCUCACUAGUCGAGUGACCUGCGCCGAAAAUGUACGGGGCUAAAACAAUUUACCGAAGCUGUGGAUACCUUUAUAGGUAUGGUAGGAGAGCGUUCUAUGUGUGAUGAAGGUAUACCGUGAGGAGUGCUGGAACGCAUAGAAGUGAGAAUGCCGGUAUGAGUAGCGAAAGACAGGUGGAGAAUCCUGUCCACCGUAAGACUAAGGUUUCCAGGGGAAGGCUCGUCCGCCCUGGGUUAGUCGGGACCUAAGGAGAGACCGAAAGGUGUAUCCGAUGGACAACAGGUUGAUAUUCCUGUACUAGAGUAUGUAGUGAUGGAGGGACGCAGUAGGCUAACUAAAGCAGACGAUUGGAAGAGUCUGUCUAAGCAGUGAGGUGUGAAUUGAGUCAAAUGCUUAAUUCUAUAACAUUGAGCUGUGAUGGGGAGCGAAGUUUAGUAGCGAAGUUAGUGACGUCACACUGCCAAGAAAAGCUUCUAGCGUUUAAACAUACUCUACCCGUACCGCAAACCGACACAGGUAGUCGAGGCGAGUAGCCUCAGGUGAGCGAGAGAACUCUCGUUAAGGAACUCGGCAAAAUGACCCCGUAACUUCGGGAGAAGGGGUGCUGACUUAAAGUCAGCCGCAGUGAAUAGGCCCAAGCAACUGUUUAUCAAAAACACAGCUCUCUGCUAAAUCGUAAGAUGAUGUAUAGGGGGUGACGCCUGCCCGGUGCUGGAAGGUUAAGAGGAGUGCUUAGCGUAAGCGAAGGUAUGAAUUGAAGCCCCAGUAAACGGCGGCCGUAACUAUAACGGUCCUAAGGUAGCGAAAUUCCUUGUCGGGUAAGUUCCGACCCGCACGAAAGGCGUAAUGAUUUGGGCACUGUCUCAACGAGAGACUCGGUGAAAUUUUAGUACCUGUGAAGAUGCAGGUUACCCGCGACAGGACGGAAAGACCCCAUGGAGCUUUACUGCAGUUUGAUAUUGAGUGUCUGUACCACAUGUACAGGAUAGGUAGGAGUCUAAGAGAUCGGGACGCCAGUUUCGAAGGAGACGCUGUUGGGAUACUACCCUUGUGUUAUGGCCACUCUAACCCAGAUAGGUGAUCCCUAUCGGAGACAGUGUCUGACGGGCAGUUUGACUGGGGCGGUCGCCUCCUAAAAGGUAACGGAGGCGCCCAAAGGUUCCCUCAGAAUGGUUGGAAAUCAUUCGCAGAGUGUAAAGGUAUAAGGGAGCUUGACUGCGAGAGCUACAACUCGAGCAGGGACGAAAGUCGGGCUUAGUGAUCCGGUGGUUCCGUAUGGAAGGGCCAUCGCUCAACGGAUAAAAGCUACCCUGGGGAUAACAGGCUUAUCUCCCCCAAGAGUUCACAUCGACGGGGAGGUUUGGCACCUCGAUGUCGGCUCGUCGCAUCCUGGGGCUGUAGUCGGUCCCAAGGGUUGGGCUGUUCGCCCAUUAAAGCGGCACGCGAGCUGGGUUCAGAACGUCGUGAGACAGUUCGGUCCCUAUCCGUCGCGGGCGUAGGAAAUUUGAGAGGAUCUGCUCCUAGUACGAGAGGACCAGAGUGGACUUACCGCUGGUGUACCAGUUGUCUUGCCAAAGGCAUCGCUGGGUAGCUAUGUAGGGAAGGGAUAAACGCUGAAAGCAUCUAAGUGUGAAACCCACCUCAAGAUGAGAUUUCCCAUGAUUAUAUAUCAGUAAGAGCCCUGAGAGAUGAUCAGGUAGAUAGGUUAGAAGUGGAAGUGUGGCGACACAUGUAGCGGACUAAUACUAAUAGCUCGAGGACUUAUCCAAA
RNAcentral lists this ribosomal RNA (2904 nucleotides) under Streptococcus pneumoniae K2557. Its description in RNAcentral is "bacterial LSU rRNA". It matches the Rfam family "Bacterial large subunit ribosomal RNA". Lineage: Bacteria; Bacillati; Bacillota; Bacilli; Lactobacillales; Streptococcaceae. The record is from RNAcentral.